Long non-coding RNA from Ornithodoros turicata, 1699 nucleotides. RefSeq lists it as uncharacterized. The record is from RefSeq and is a predicted model, not a curated record. NCBI's taxonomy places the organism in Eukaryota, Metazoa, Arthropoda, Arachnida, Ixodida, Argasidae. The transcript is spliced from 3 exons.
CAUGGCAAACCACGCGUUUUAGACUCCCUGACAUUAAAAUAGCACGCGUCGAAAUGAAGAAAGCGCCAGCUAAGGCAUCAUUUACACGAUUUUCUGUACUGUGACACGACGAGCAGCUUCCUGAACCAAACUGAUGCAACCAGUACGGCUACGCCAGCAAGAUUUCAAAACAAGCAAUCGUCGACAGAAUUCUUCCGUGGACUUCACGCAGCGUGGACGCAGCAGCGGGAGAACUACGAUGCCUAGCACAAUUUUAUUUGUUGUUCAGCUGCUGCCCGACCACAUAGUACCUCCAUGACUGGUGUAUACAGCUUGUGUGGCAGACAUAUCGCGUCUGCUCUCCCCGACCUUGAGAUAACGCGUCGAAAUGAAGAAGCCAGCUAAGCCAUCAUUUACGUCUGCAGCACAUGAGGAAGUAGGGCUUCACAAAGCAAAGUGAUCCAACCAAUAUCGCCACGCCAGCAAGAUUUAUUAAGCGGGAAUCUUCGACAGACUUCCUCAGCGGGUAUAUUACAACACCUGACGCUAGUUUCUUCCUUGUUGUUCAGGUCCUGCGCACGAUAGCAGUUCCCCUCUGUGGUGCCAAGCGCAGCAGAUCUGGGUGCUCACGGCCUUUGCGGGCAUUGAAAAAGAGUCACCUGUCCUGUUCGCUCUACCUCUCUGUCCGAAAGCAGCGGAAGGUGAAGCCGAGUGCUCUACUGCGUCUCCUGCAUAUUUCCUGAUUGCAUCGUCACAUUGGAACGUCAUCGUCCGCAACUUUAUGACAACGUGGACUGUCUGGCCAAUGUCCUAUCCACGUCGUGUCGGCCAUGGAAGUCAGCCUGUCGUCAGCCUGUCGUCAGCCCAUCGGCAGGACGUCGGCAGUCGCCGUUGAGUGCAGGAACAGAUGUUAUGAACUUUUUUGGGUAGCGGACGCGGCAUUAGCAUAUGUACGCAAUAAACGAAGCGUAAUGCAAACACAAACGAAGGCAGAGCGAGAGUUUUAGAAUCGGGUAUUCUCCGGCGAAAACCCCCAAAACGAAAACACCUGGCAUUUGUGGGGUCAUCUUGUGGCACCACUGUACCCCUUUUGUGUACGAAAUUUAAUUUGAGGAGAAAUGGUACCCGUGUUUUACCUAAAUAUCGUUGAAGCUGGAAAGCAGGCGUGUUUUUCAUUACUUUCAACAUUGCGCGAAGGCGACGGAGGUUCACGUUUUUUGUGUGGCGAUUUCGGGUACCCACGCUAUUUCCGAAACGCCUUCUAUACCGGGAAACACUGAAUUCUCUGAACGUGCGCUGUAGGAGUCCCCAAAUUUGUUUGGGGUCCCAAAGUGCUUGGGUACCCUAUUCUAGAACUCUCAAACGCUUACUGUCUAGCAAUGACUCCAUGAGUGCAACAAACACCCAGCGGAAAGACAGAAGACUGUAAUAUGCCUGCGUGUCCUGGUACUUUGUAUGCUUCUGUUUUGCUGGUACUUUGUAUGCUUCUGUUUUGCUGGUACUUUGUAUGCUUUUAUUUUGCUGGUAUUUUGUAUAUGCUUUUAUUUUGCUGGUAUUUUGUAUAUGCUUUUAUUUUGCUGGUAUUUUUUAUAUGCUUUUAUUUUGCUGGUGCUUUGUAAGCAUCUGUUCGCCGGCCCCUUUACGUGGUUGCGUUUACUGGUAUUUCACUUAAGCACACACUGUUCACACCUAUUAAAGAAAGCACGCGCACACAGACAUA